Molecule: long non-coding RNA, 204 nt
Filed under: Mytilus galloprovincialis (Mediterranean mussel)
Lineage: Eukaryota; Metazoa; Mollusca; Bivalvia; Mytilida; Mytilidae
Source: RNAcentral
UGAAAGUCCAAUAUGGGGAAUUAAGGGUGUUUUUAGGUGGGUAAAACAGGGAAUUCCCCCAGAAGGACAUUUCAAACAAAAAAAAGAUAUGUUUUUUUUGUGACUGUUGUAAUUUAUACUUAUUUUUCCCUCAAAAAUGAAAUUGGUUGUGUGUGUCCUUAUUACAUAAAAAAACUCUUUUUAUGAAAAAAUUGUAACAUCGCU